This 464-nucleotide ribosomal RNA is filed under the name uncultured bacterium. Its description in RNAcentral is "partial 16S ribosomal RNA". It matches the Rfam family "Bacterial small subunit ribosomal RNA", at positions 338 to 795 of the family's 1533-position model. The record is from RNAcentral.
CCUACGGGUGGCAGCAGUAGGGAAUAUUCCACAAUGAGCGAAAGCCUGAUGGAGCGACACCGCGUGCACGAUGAAGGUCUUCGGAUUGUAAAGCUCUGUCAUCAGGGAAGAACAUUUGCAUUAGUAAAUGAUUGCAGACUGACGGUACCUUGUCAGAAAGCGCUGGCUAACUAUGUGCCAGCAGCCGCGGUAAUACAUAGGUGGCAAGCGUUAUCGGGAUUUAUUGGGGGAAAAGCGGUCGUAGUCUGUUUGUUAAGUCUGGGUGUAAAUCCCGGGCCUAAACCCCGACUCGCUUUGGAUACUAGCAAACUAGAGUGAGAGAGAGGUAAGCGGAAUUCCAUGUGUAGCGGUGAAAUGCGUAGAUAUAUGGAGGAACACCAGAGGCGAAGGCGGCUUACUGGGUCUAAACUGACGCUGAGGGGCGAAAGCGUGGGGAGCAAACAGGAUUAGAUACCCCUGUAGUC